RNAcentral lists this long non-coding RNA (222 nucleotides) under Lathyrus oleraceus (garden pea). Its description in RNAcentral is "Pisum sativum (pea) long non-coding RNA (PSAT_LNC016466)". Lineage: Eukaryota; Viridiplantae; Streptophyta; Magnoliopsida; Fabales; Fabaceae. The record is from RNAcentral.
GCUUCUGGCCAUUAGACCUACCACCUCAAUUAAUGAGGGAGAUCCGAUGGCCCUUAUUUUUUUUUAUUUUCUUUUUAAUUUCAGAUUUUAUGUUUAAUUGCUUUAUUUUGUUUAAUUCAUAAUAAUUUCAUUUUUAAUCCAAAAAAUAUGUGACUUUCACCAAAAAUCUUUAAAUAUUUUUCUCUUUCAUUUUCUGAAUUAAAAAUAUUUUUUGGAUUAAUU